UACAGAGGGUGCGAGCGUUAUUCGGAAUUACUGGGCGUAAAGCGCGCGUAGGCGGCUUUGCAAGCCGGAUGUGAAAUCCCCGGGCUUAACCUGGGAACUGCAUUCGGGACUGCAUUGCUAGAGUAUGGGAGAGGGAAGUGGAAUUUCAGGUGUAGCGGUGAAAUGCGUAGAUAUCUGAAGGAACAUCAGUGGCGAAAGCGACUUCCUGGACCAAUACUGACGCUCAUGUGCGAAAGCGUGGGGAGCAAACAGG
RNAcentral lists this ribosomal RNA (253 nucleotides) under uncultured bacterium. RNAcentral describes it as "partial 16S ribosomal RNA". It matches the Rfam family "Bacterial small subunit ribosomal RNA", at positions 524 to 776 of the family's 1533-position model. The record is from RNAcentral.